This 1445-nucleotide ribosomal RNA is filed under the name metagenome. RNAcentral describes it as "bacterial SSU rRNA". It matches the Rfam family "Bacterial small subunit ribosomal RNA". The record is from RNAcentral.
CGAACGGUAACAGGAAGCAGCUUGCUGCGUCGCUGACGAGUGGCGGACGGGUGAGUAAUGUCUGGGAAGCUGCCUGAUGGAGGGGGAUAACUACUGGAAACGGUAGCUAAUACCGCAUAAUGUCGCAAGACCAAAGAGGGGGACCUUCGGGCCUCUUGCCAUCGGAUGUGCCCAGAUGGGAUUAGCUUGUUGGUGGGGUAACGGCUCACCAAGGCGACGAUCCCUAGCUGGUCUGAGAGGAUGACCAGCCACACUGGAACUGAGACACGGUCCAGACUCCUACGGGAGGCAGCAGUGGGGAAUAUUGCACAAUGGGCGCAAGCCUGAUGCAGCCAUGCCGCGUGUAUGAAGAAGGCCUUCGGGUUGUAAAGUACUUUCAGCGGGGAGGAAGGGAGUAAAGUUAAUACCUCUGCUCAUUGACGUUACCCGCAGAAGAAGCACCGGCUAACUCCGUGCCAGCAGCCGCGGUAAUACGGAGGGUGCAAGCGUUAAUCGGAAUUACUGGGCGUAAAGCGCACGCAGGCGGUUUGUUAAGUCAGAUGUGAAAUCCCCGGGCUCAACCUGGGAACUGCAUCUGAUACUGGCAAGCUUGAGUCUCGUAGAGGGGGGUAGAAUUCCAGGUGUAGCGGUGAAAUGCGUAGAGAUCUGGAGGAAUACCGGUGGCGAAGGCGGCCCCCUGGACGAAGACUGACGCUCAGGUGCGAAAGCGUGGGGAGCAAACAGGAUUAGAUACCCUGGUAGUCCACGCCGUAAACGAUGUCGACUUGGAGGUUGUGCCCUUGAGGCGUGGCUUCCGGAGCUAACGCGUUAAGUCGACCGCCUGGGGAGUACGGCCGCAAGGUUAAAACUCAAAUGAAUUGACGGGGGCCCGCACAAGCGGUGGAGCAUGUGGUUUAAUUCGAUGCAACGCGAAGAACCUUACCUGGUCUUGACAUCCACGGAAGUUUUCAGAGAUGAGAAUGUGCCUUCGGGAACCGUGAAACAGGUGCUGCAUGGCUGUCGUCAGCUCGUGUUGUGAAAUGUUGGGUUAAGUCCCGCAACGAGCGCAACCCUUAUCCUUUGUUGCCAGCGGUCCGGCCGGGAACUCAAAGGAGACUGCCAGUGAUAAACUGGAGGAAGGUGGGGAUGACGUCAAGUCAUCAUGGCCCUUACGACCAGGGCUACACACGUGCUACAAUGGCGCAUACAAAGGGAAGCGACCUCGCGAGAGCAAGCGGACCUCAUAAAGUGCGUCGUAGUCCGGAUUGGAGUCUGCAACUCGACUCCAUGAAGUCGGAAUCGCUAGUAAUCGUGGAUCAGAAUGCCACGGUGAAUACGUUCCCGGGCCUUGUACACACCGCCCGUCACACCAUGGGAGUGGGUUGCAAAAGAAGUAGGUAGCUUAACCUUCGGGAGGGCGCUUACCACUUUGUGAUUCAUGACUGGGGUGAAGUCGAAACAAGGUA